UCAACACACGUAAGAUAUAUCUAGAAGAUAUAUUUACAACAUAAUUAUAAUUGUUGGUGAAUUAUCAGCACUCACUCCACCGACAACUAUGGCCGCCGCAGCAGCGUAAGAUCUCCGUCCCGAUUAAUCGGAGAUUUUCAUAUUAAUCUCUCCCUUUCGAUUUGAAGUUUGUUACCCACCACUAACUGCGAUAAACUUAAAAUCUGUAUGAUGAUUUUGAUCUAUUAUUAUCUGCCUGCAAAAUUUCAGUAGCGUGCAAGAAGUUCUUCCGCCCCUCUUCAAUUCAACUUCUCUUCAUCCACCACCACUCUUCGAUGGAACCACUAGGUGCCUCUCUCUCUCU
RNAcentral lists this long non-coding RNA (343 nucleotides) under Salvia miltiorrhiza (redroot sage). Its description in RNAcentral is "long non-coding RNA (SMIL_LNC000110)". The record is from RNAcentral. Lineage: Eukaryota; Viridiplantae; Streptophyta; Magnoliopsida; Lamiales; Lamiaceae.